Molecule: long non-coding RNA, 946 nt
Organism: Acyrthosiphon pisum (pea aphid)
Lineage: Eukaryota; Metazoa; Arthropoda; Insecta; Hemiptera; Aphididae
Exons: 4
Source: RefSeq, a predicted model, not a curated record
CUCUCUGGUAACGACUCCCAACGCGUACACGCGUACCAGCUCGCGAGUCGCGACGCGAACUCGCUAAUCCUGAGCCUCCGGGCCAUAGACAAGAAUACUAACGCGAACCACCGAACGCAUCGACCCGGCACAGCCGUCAAAGGUCGUCACGCUCCCGCGCCCACCUUGGUCAAUUUACGACCGGCACCAACGCUCGCUCGAGUUCCGCCGCACGUUUUGCCGACGAUGUUCGGUUCCGGACUACACCGUCGUUACCACCGCUGCACAACUCUCUCCGCUCUUCUCUGUAAUAAUUAAUAACUUCUUUCGGCUCAAUAAAUUACAAAUUAUAUCUCAAUUCAAGUUCAACGUGUUACAUACUCUCUUCAUCCCAAACCAUCUACCUACAGCGUCAUAUUUCAGAAACAUAAAUGGGACUAAAUACGAUGUUGUUUAGGCGUCGACUGAUGAGGUCACUAGUCACUUUACUUCAUACCGCGAUCUCGGUUGACGCAAUAUUUUUCCGGAGAUUUGUGAUUUGUUAUACUUUAUCGUGAAAUAGUGUAAACUGUAAAGUAAUACCCAGUGUUUAUUGCGUACCUACUCAAAAGUGAAACCUGUUGUCUUGUUUGGUGUUACUGUCGUUAACCAUGGAUCAGUAUAGUCAAGAGCCUGAAGCUGAUCUAUUAGAAAUAGGCAUUUCCUACAGUUCGGACUACGUUGUGCCUAUUCUACCACCUCAAGUACAGAUCCAAGCAUUCAAAGCUCAAUCGAUUAUUAAACCUGUCGGCUGUCAUGGAGAGAAAACCGAUCGAGUGGUCUAUUGAAACUUUGCUUGAUUUAUUACACACUACUAAUGAUGGCAGGUAUAUAUUCACGGACAGAAAAAUAAACAAAGUUUACCUUUCAGAGGAUUGUCAUAAUACUUUAACAAAAUAGAUUGUCAAUCAAUUGUUUCAAGAACAGU